AUUAUCUCAUCAUACGCAUCAUGCAUAUUGCAUCGGCACUCCGUUGCCGUCAGUUUUUCAAAACUUGCAUCCGUUGUUAGUUGUCGGUUCUCUUCAUUUUUUUUGUUGACCGUUUUGAGACCAACCACACAUGCACGCGCCUGCGACAUUGUUAAAAUAUUCUUUUUAAAAGUAUGUAUUUUUUUGGAUUGGGUUGAAAGUUGAUGUGCGGUCUUGUUUUAUCGUAGGUAGACAGGUGCCAAAUUUCAUCGUAAUCGGAGUUUGUUUGAUACCUGAACCGUUAAAUAUAUAGCGACACUAUAGUCAGUUUAUUUAUCGGUCGUUUUAGGUGUUUCAAAACAUGUCACGGGCCUCACAACUUCCCUCUUUUUCCUACCUAGCAUCUCUAACACAUUCCACUAGCCCACCUAAGCCUACCUAACCCUAGGGCGCAACCGGAGCUGUCCGAUCACAAUCAAAUGGCUCGAAACGUCCCAAAAACCACCUCUAACCCUAAUCCAUGCUAUAAAAGGAAACUCCUCCCUUCCAAAUCCGACCUUCUCUCUCCUCAACUCAAAUUCCAGGCAGCCUCCCACCCGCGCUGCCACUUGUCACCGCCGCACUCACUG
RNAcentral lists this long non-coding RNA (608 nucleotides) under Hordeum vulgare. RNAcentral's name for it is "long non-coding RNA (HVUL_LNC010094)". Lineage: Eukaryota; Viridiplantae; Streptophyta; Magnoliopsida; Poales; Poaceae. The record is from RNAcentral.